GUCGGGGAAGCAAUUCCUUGGUAACGAAGCUAACGCGUGAAGUUGACCGCCUGGGGAGUACGGCCGCAAGGUUAAAACUCAAAGGAAUUGACGGGGACCCGCACAAGCGGUGGAUUAUGUGGAUUAAUUCGAUGCAACGCGAAAAACCUUACCUACCCUUGACAUGCCAGGAACCCUCCAGAGAUGGAGGGGUGCCCGAAAGGGAACCUGGACACAGGUGCUGCAUGGCUGUCGUCAGCUCGUGUCGUGAGAUGUUGGGUUAAGUCCCGCAACGAGCGCAACCCUUGCCAUUAGUUGCCACAUUAAGUUGGGCACUCUAAUGGGACUGCCGGUGACAAACCGGAGGAAGGUGGGGAUGACGUCAAGUCCUCAUGGCCCUUAUGGGUUAGGGCUUCACACGUUAAUACAAUGGCCGGUACAGAGGGCAGCCAACCCGCCGAGGGGGAGCUAAUCCCAGAAAGCCGGUCCUAGUCCGGAUUGCAUCUGCAAUUCGACUUGCAUGAACCGGAAUCGCUAUUAAUCGCCGAUCAGCAUGUCGCGGUGAAUACUUCCCCGGUC
This 558-nucleotide ribosomal RNA is filed under the name uncultured soil bacterium. Its description in RNAcentral is "bacterial SSU rRNA". It matches the Rfam family "Bacterial small subunit ribosomal RNA", at positions 822 to 1380 of the family's 1533-position model. The record is from RNAcentral.